This 537-nucleotide ribosomal RNA is filed under the name Luteibacter sp. RNAcentral's name for it is "bacterial SSU rRNA". It matches the Rfam family "Bacterial small subunit ribosomal RNA", at positions 34 to 561 of the family's 1533-position model. The record is from RNAcentral. Lineage: Bacteria; Pseudomonadati; Pseudomonadota; Gammaproteobacteria; Lysobacterales; Rhodanobacteraceae.
GGCUAAGUAACCGGUCCUAGCUUGCAAGUCGAACGGCAGCACAGCUAAGCUUGCUCUGUGGGUGGCGAGUGGCGGACGGGUGAGUAAUGCAUCGGGACCUACCCAGACGUGGGGGAUAACGUAGGGAAACUUACGCUAAUACCGCAUACGUCCUACGGGAGAAAGCGGGGGAUCGCAAGACYUCGCGYGGUUGGAUGGACCGAUGUGCGAUUAGCUUGUUGGUGAGGUAACGGCUCACCAAGGCGACGAUCGCUAGCUGGUCUGAGAGGAUGAUCAGCCACACUGGGACUGAGACACGGCCCAAAUCCUACGGGAGGCAGCAGUGGGGAAUAUUGGACAAUUGGCGCAAGCCUGAUCCAGCAAUGCCGGGUGGUGGAAGAAGGGCCUCGGGUUGUAAAGCACUUUUAUCAGGAGCGAAAUCUGCAGGGCUAAUACCCAUGCAGUCUGACGGUACCUGAGGAAUAAGCACCGGCUAACUCCGUGCCAGCAGCCGCGGUAAUACGGAGGGUGCAAGCGUUAAUCGGAAUUACUGGGCGU